GUCUAAUACGACCAAGCUAAGUUUGCUUGAUUCACUUCAUUAAGAGGUGUGUAUCCUAGUACAUUCCCUUGGAACAGGGGUUUUCUGCUGGACUAAUGACAGUCCUCU
Molecule: unclassified non-coding RNA, 108 nt
Filed under: Acartia pacifica
Lineage: Eukaryota; Metazoa; Arthropoda; Copepoda; Calanoida; Acartiidae
Description: trans-spliced leader
Source: RNAcentral